UAUGAGAAUGAGACCGGUAUAGUCGCGAACGAUGCAAAACAAAGCUCCGUUGCAGGCGAUGGACGCGCGUGGCAGAAGAACAAAUUAAGUUUUCCACCUGCCACUCCCACACUGGCCCACAACCCGUUGCGUGUGCAAAAGGGGCGUGUGAGUGCACUAGUGUGUGUGCCUGUGUGUGCAAAGGGAAAUGGAAAAUUUAAUAUCCCGCUCGGGUGCUCAAAAGAAAGAAUAUAUGCAAAAUAUAAUACAAAAAGUGAAAGAAGUGCCUUUAUAAUUUAACGAUUUUCGCGUCAGUAUAUUGCAGGCAGCAAUGCAAAUGAUAAUGAUUCCAGAAUACAUAAUUCCAUUUCAAAAUACAUAAUAUAUAACCAACAGUUUGUAGAAAAAAAUCUCUAAGAGAUGAUAAAAGUUAUAUUUAAUGUUGCUUAAAUGAACUUUAAAUCAAGAAAAACUACGUACCUUGGAAAAUAGAAAGACAUAAGUGUUGCCUAUAGUCAAAAUAUCAAGUAUCAAGAUAACUUUAGAGGAUACAAUACAUUUAAUAUUGAAAAACAAUAAAGAACCCACAUAAAUCUUCCUUGUUCCAUAUAAAAUGCGCCAAAAAGUGCAGCAUCAGCUGAGCAGAAAGUUCACCUUCACCCAAUGAACACGGCCAUACGACAUCGUACCGCUAACACACAUACUACGAGUAGUUAUAAGAAGAACAAAACAUGAAAAAUCGAUACUAAAAUCUGCAACAGCAGCAGCAGCCGCAACGCGGUCCCCGGCCGCGCCCACUUAUCCGAGAACUACUCGUGAAUCCCCAUCGAAGCUACAUACAAAUCUAAAGGAAGAAAUCCAAUAGGCCAAAAGCAUCAAAGUGUUCGGAAACCAGGCCAUACCCAGCAGGGACACUACCGUCGAGGCGGGAAGCCGCAGAAUGGUGGAUGCCAAACCGCCGCCCGCCCCCACACCGGGAGCGGUGCCGGGAACAACUCCGCCUCUGGCCGCCUUUGCCGGUGAGCGAUCCAAAAUCAAAUUGUUCAUGGAGCGAACGCCCAGCAUUGGGGCCCUCAAGUCAAAGUUUCUCACUGUGCUGGGCAACAGCAAUGAGCUGCUCAACGGAAUAUCAAAUAAGUUGACUUUGAGCUACAGCAGCAGCGAUUCGGAUUACUGUGAUGACGAUGAGGACAUCCCCAAGUUUGAUGAGACGAUUGACUACACAAAAAUCGAUUUUGAGGGACGCCGGGUGAAGGCUCGCCGUGCCCAUGAGGAGAUCAUCUCGGGUCGCUACAGACAACCCAAUCUGGCGCCACUCCAACACUUAGGUCCCCGCCCGGAGCCCACUCGGGGCCGUCAUGGGGCCCAGAAACGAGGGGCAGCUGCUGGGCAGCAGCGUUCCAACUCGGCUUCGUCCAGCAGCUCUGGGGGCAGCAGCAGCGACGAGAGCAGCUCCAUAUCGCUGCCCGAGAAUGCGGCAGCGGCAGCGGCGGGGGCGGGGGCGGCAGCAGCACCACGCUCCCACGAUGUGAGUAGCACGACGCGCUCGGAUUCCAUUGAGAGCCGCAACUCGGGAGGCUAUGAGCGGCCCAGGGCCAUUGCCGGAGCCCGGCGCAGUGAGAUGGACGUGCAGAAGGACAUGCAACGCAUUAUAGAACUGCUGGAGGCCAAUCCGCCCCACAUCGAUGUGCAGCCGCCCACAGAAGGGGGAGGAGACGGCGGCGGCGGGGGAGGUGGCGCUGGCUCGGUCAACCGUCAGCCCUGGGGAGCCGGCAGCAACUCGAUGCGAGUGCCACCGCGCAGUCGCACUUCCAAUAGCAGCACCCUGACCAGCCUGCGGGAUGAGGUGGACCAGGUGCUGGCCAGCCCCAGCGUUGAGUCCACCGACUGGCGGCACUUUAUCCGCUCCGAGUCGCAGAAUUCGGUGCCCUCGUGGGCCUCCUCCAUCAGUCUGGACUGCCGCGCCGGGGAGGAGCCCGUCAAGGAGUUCAUGAGGCUCUUCACCGAGCUGCUGUUCUACAAUACUGCGUGCGUCAACCUGGAGCUGAAGUCGGAGUUCGGGGUCCUGCUCCGCCUGGAGAUCGGUCGCCUCUGGUUCACGCGCUUCCUCACUGAGCAGCGCAACAAAACGAAGCGUCUCGAAUCGGUCACCUUCCACGGACUGCCUCAGUACUUUGCCUUGGCCCUGUUCGAGUGUGGGGAAUGCGAGGACUUUGGCCCGGCAUCGGUGCUCAUGAAUCUCUGUUUUCUCUUCUACCACGAAGUUGAAGUUCCUGGCUGCGAUCCCUAUCGCGAGUACCUGUUUCUCUCCCUACGGCAGCAGCCCAUCUGGCAUCAGCUGCACUUCUGGGACACUGUCCUCUGGGACGCCAUGCAUGCGGAUCGGGAGCAUCGCCUCGCCAACGUACAGCGGCGCCAGCAGAGACGUCAGCAUAAGAAGCAGCAACGCCUCUCCAUCCCAGGAACAGAGGCACCUCUAACGCCAGCUCCAACGGGGACCACAGCACCGGAAACUGCAGAUAAACCCGUGCGCAAGCAUGGACCCGAUUCCUCAUCCAGCUCCUCGCAUCAGGGCGCAAACUCGGGGUAUCCUCCGGCGACCCGAAGGCAAAGCAAAAUGAGUCCCGGACAGCCGCCGGUGCUGGGUAAAGAACACGAGGACACUGUAUUCCGGCAUCUGGGGGCCCUGACCUGCAACAUGCAUUCGCUGGGCACACCCAAGGAAUUGUGCAUCGACUUUCUCAAACGACAUGCUCAGGGCCACGAACUAUCCAAGGAUAAAGCAAAGCUCAUUCGAGACAAUGUCCAUCGCAUGUACCAUGAGACGGAACUCUGGGGCGCACGAUAAGCCAAGCAUAAGAAUGGAAUGGCCAGGACCAUGAGGCAGCCUUUGAGCGCUCAGAACGAAGGACACAUCGAAGAGGAAGAGGGCCAGCUCUGGUGACGGCAUCGUGGAGUACCCCCUCAAGAUAUAUGUACUUGUAUGUGUGUCACACUGGAUUCCAAACUGGCGCAGUCCUGGUACUCAUCCAUUGCCUCCUUCAAUGCCAUGCCUUCUAGGCGUACAGACUAUCCGAUAUCACUAUUGGAGAGCCGAUCUCCAGUGGCCACUGUACAUCGAGGAGGCACAGCGACAAAAUGGACAAGUCGCCGCUCCUUCCCUUCUCAGCCAUUCAGCCGUAGGGUGUUUACACGCGGUAUGUGCCCACGCCGCAUCUACCCAAUGAUGUGGACGUGGACUGUCAUCAGCAGCAGUAUCAGAACCUCAAUCUCAACGAGGAACUCUUGAGGUCAGGCCUCACCGACGAAAUCCUGCAGCCCACCGAGGAGAAGCAACCACAACAUGAUUUCGGAUUUCGCCUUUCCACAGAAGUUUCCCAUAAUCUACAUUAAUGACAACCACUGGGACAUCAAUUAGCCGGCGGCCUGAUUCGAUCUGUGCAUUGAUAGGAGGAGACCACUCUCUGCUGCUGACCAAGGGGUACUACAAUAAACGAGAGCCUGCAGAACUACCAGUGGCUACCAAUGGCUUCCGUCUCUGCGUACAAUACAGUUACGGACAUCUGGAUGCUCCUGCCCCUGGGAUGCUGAUGACUGUACCGAUGAGGUGCCGAGGCUGCUGUUCAUAUUGCUGGCCGAGGAACGCUCGUAGGGCGAGCAGUGAUUUCAUUGAAAUUAAGUAUUACACAUAGCGAUAUUAUGUUAUUAUGUUUAAGGAUAUACAUUGUACGUUGUUAUAUCUAGAAACGUAGUUUCUAAGUUACUAUAAAACAAGACUAUUAAAAAAUCACCCAUACAAAAGAGA
RNA transcript from Drosophila pseudoobscura, 3784 nucleotides. RefSeq lists it as uncharacterized. Lineage: Eukaryota; Metazoa; Arthropoda; Insecta; Diptera; Drosophilidae. The transcript has 10 exons. The record is from RefSeq and is a predicted model, not a curated record.